UAAAAACUUAAGUUUAACUAAACUAAGAGCCUUCAAAGCCCAAAAUAUGGGUAAAACCCCCAUAGUUUUU
This 70-nucleotide transfer RNA is filed under the name Anolis etheridgei. RNAcentral describes it as "tRNA-Trp". It matches the Rfam family "tRNA". Rfam says of the family: Transfer RNA (tRNA) molecules are approximately 80 nucleotides in length. The record is from RNAcentral. Lineage: Eukaryota; Metazoa; Chordata; Lepidosauria; Squamata; Anolidae.